GACGAACGCUGGCGGCGUGCUUAACACAUGCAAGUCGAACGGAAAGGCCUGCUUUCCCUUGUGGAUUGCGGGUACUCGAGUGGCGAACGGGUGAGUAACACGUGUGUGAUCUGCCCCCAACUUGGGUAUAAGCCUGGGAAACUGGGUCUAAUUCCCGAUAGGACUGCAGGGUGGUGCCUGUGGUGGAAAACGAUUUUCUAGUGGUUGGGGAUGAGCUCGCGGCCUAUCAGCUUGUUGGUGGGGUAAUGGCCUACCAAGGCGGCGACGGGUAGCCGGCCUGAGAGGGUGGACGGCCACAUUGGGACUGAGAUACGGCCCAGACUCCUACGGGAGGCAGCAGUGGGGAAUAGUGCACAAUGGGCGGAAGCCUGAUGCAGCGACGCCGCGUGGGGGAUGACGGCCUUCGGGUUGUAAACUCCUUUCGACCGCGAGGAAGCCACCUGGUUGGAAGGGUGGUGACGGUAGUGGUAGAAGAAGCACCGGCUAACUACGUG
Molecule: ribosomal RNA, 494 nt
Filed under: uncultured bacterium
Lineage: Bacteria
Description: partial 16S ribosomal RNA
Rfam family: Bacterial small subunit ribosomal RNA
Source: RNAcentral